UUUGACGUUAGCGACAGAAGAAGCACCGGCUAACUCCGUGCCAGCAGCCGCGGUAAUACGGAGGGUGCGAGCGUUAAUCGGAAUUACUGGGCGUAAAGCGCAUGCAGGUGGUUUGUUAAGUCAGAUGUGAAAGACCCGGGGCGUCAACCUCGGAAUUGCAUUUGAAACUGGCAGACUAGAGUACUGUAGAGGGGGGUAGGAAUUUCAGGUGUAGCGGUGAAAUGCGUAGAGAUCUGAAGGAAUACCGGUGGCGAAGGCGGCCCCCUCGGACAGAUACUGACACUCAGAUGCGAAAGCGUGGGGAGCAAACAGGAUUAGAUACCCUGGUAG
This 330-nucleotide ribosomal RNA is filed under the name uncultured bacterium. Its description in RNAcentral is "bacterial SSU rRNA". It matches the Rfam family "Bacterial small subunit ribosomal RNA", at positions 468 to 793 of the family's 1533-position model. The record is from RNAcentral.